ACCGAGAAAUCACAUUUUCAUCAGUUCAUUUGAAGCUGCGCAAGUCUUUGUAAAACAAGAGACGAGAUACUCCAGAAGAGUUAGUGGAACUGUUAAACAGGGCGAAAUGGAGAUUUUCUGUGCAAAUAAAAGAAACGUCAAACAAAUGUUUUCACUGAUCCAAAAGUUACAACAACAUCGUCUGAACGAUCAAAGAUGUGAUCCUGAAAUUAUUAAAAAAGCCGACGAGAAUCAACUCUUUGAAACGAUAAUUUUCUAUCAGUCCAAGAGAAUUGAAGACCAACGUUGCAACUUGCCGUCCAACCUCGCUGAGGAUCAGCAAUAAGAAUGUUGUUGAAGAAAUAAACAGCAAGAGCCUUCUUGCAUUAUGAUGACGAGAGUCAAGAGAUGUCACUGAUGAAUGAUUUGACAACAUCAACGUGAAAAUCAGAUCAGGUAGGCGUUCAUUACAUCACCCGUAAAGAGAAGAUUGAGCCACUAAAAACAUGGCAACACCGAAACAAUUGAAAAGGAUCCAUUUACAUAUUUUUGAAAGUAAGCUAAUACAGAACGAUAAGCGUGAAAAAUAGCCAACUAGGCGGUCUAGGCCUAUGGAAAGUUGCUAAACGAAAGAAAGGUGUCGCGAGAAAAAAACAGAACAGUGUAUUCAAAAGGAAAUUUUCCGGCCCAUAAUAGAUAAAUACAUUACUUAUUACAAUCACGAUGAAAUAAAACACCGAAAGAAUUAUAUGUCUUA
Xenia sp. Carnegie-2017 is the source of this 736-nucleotide long non-coding RNA. RefSeq lists it as uncharacterized. The record is from RefSeq and is a predicted model, not a curated record. NCBI's taxonomy places the organism in Eukaryota, Metazoa, Cnidaria, Anthozoa, Malacalcyonacea, Xeniidae. The transcript has 2 exons.